UUAAAAAUUAUCCAACCCACACUGUGAAUUGUUUUCGAAGGUACGAGCGCAUCCUUCUUGGAUGAGUUUGUAUCUUCACCCUCCCAUACACACCCUAUAAACUUACGAGUAUGAAGUUUACCUUUUUUGUCUCCUCUUCUUUUACGAAGAGAAGAGAAAGAAGUAUUAACCGAAAUAACUCUCAACAAUGGAUGUCUUGGCUCUCGCAACGAUGAAGAACGCAGCGAAAUGCGAUACGUAGUGUGAUUUGCACUAUCCGUGAACCAUCGAAUCCUUGAACGCAUAUUGCACUCGAGGCUUCGGCCAAGAGUAUGCCUGCCUGAGCGUCAGUGUGUCUCCUCACCUCACUUUUAUUUUUGAGCGUGGAUCUGGGCGUCCGGAAUCUUUUGUUUUAUUGAAAGACUCGGGUCGCCUGAAAAACAGUCGUACGUGCGACUGUCGCAUAACCAACGUGGUAGACCACUCCGGUGGACGAUCGUUCGGUUUGACAGCUGUUUACCUAAGUAUGAUCUCGACCGAAUUUAUUUCCGUGUCGAAACCUGUGCUUUUUUACUCCGCACUUUUUCUUUCACAAGAAAGAGAGCAAACCAAAAAAGCUUCACCUUUUGACCUCAGUUCAGACAAGAUUACCCGCCGAAUUUAAGCAUAUUACUAAGCGGAGGAAAAGAAACUAACAAGGAUUCCCCUAGUAACGGCGAGCGAACCGGGAAGAGCCAAACUUGAAAAUCUAAACGUUUUACGUUUCGAAUUGUAGUCUAGAGACGCGUCCUCUGUCACGAACCAGCUUCAAGUCCUUUGGAAAAAGGCGUCAGAGAGGGUGAGAACCCCGUCGAGCUCGG
RNAcentral lists this ribosomal RNA (839 nucleotides) under Bathycoccus prasinos. RNAcentral describes it as "eukaryotic LSU rRNA". The stretch from base 607 to 839 matches the Rfam family "Eukaryotic large subunit ribosomal RNA", at positions 1 to 233 of the family's 3401-position model. Lineage: Eukaryota; Viridiplantae; Chlorophyta; Mamiellophyceae; Mamiellales; Bathycoccaceae. The record is from RNAcentral.